Molecule: long non-coding RNA, 1108 nt
Filed under: Heterocephalus glaber (naked mole-rat)
Lineage: Eukaryota; Metazoa; Chordata; Mammalia; Rodentia; Bathyergidae
Description: lncRNA (ENSHGLG00000039435.1)
Source: RNAcentral
CCAGCCUCUUCCCACUCGCUCACAAACGCUCCCGUAUUUCCUCCCGGCCCCAAGAGAAUGGUUCCGAGCUGUGCGGUAGGGCAGGGCCGCCAGGGACCGGGCCUGCGGGGCUCCCGGGCCUUUCAAAGCCUCUUGGAAGCUGGGCUGCGGCGCAGGGGCGGCCCGAGGCGCUGGGGCCCGGGCCAGGAGAAGGGGACGGGACGGGCCUGCCUGUGGUGCCUAGAAAUCAAAGCAGCCAACCUUGGGCUUUUUCUUCCCCUCACACUGAGGCACUUUUAUUGGCGAGAUGAAGGGAGGCAGAGCGGGCCUACAGUCCUCGCUUUGCUUUGGGAGGUUAAUGACCCAGUUAGCAGCUCUUGGCUGCGUUUCCGACAUUUUGCAGACAUCAAGCUCUGCGCCUCUGCCAAGUACAUUCUGUUCCCUGGAGCUCAUCCAGUGCAUCUCAGAUUACUAUGUAAUGCGACGAAGAGGGAGAGGUGGCUGGGCGGGGCGGAGAGCGGGCGGAGAGCGGGCGGGGGUGCGGGCUGCGGGCCGGCAGGCGGGGAGGGGGAUGCCGCCCUAAAUACAGCCGCCCUCCUGCGAGCGCAUCCCUGCAGGUGCUUAUUUAUGGCACCGGAGCGAACCCGAAGUGGGGGUUCGCCGGGCCCUGUCGUCCAGGAAUCCUGCGGGGUGGUGCGCCGAGCUCGGCCCAGACCCGGCCGGGACAGAGCGUGGGGGCGGGGAGGGCCGGAGAGGAGAGGGAGCUGGAAUUCGAGGGGCGGGGCUAGCGUGUCUUGGGGCGGGGUUAUGGGCUCUCGGCCCCGCCCCCAGGCCAUCUCCUCCAGUCCUCUAGGAGCUGCAGCCUGCGCGCUAAUUAUAGACGUGAAUGGAAAGCGGCGGCUUUUGAAUGAUUGCAUUGCUCGCGCUGCCUUUGGAGGCUGAGGAGCAGAUGGAGAAACUGAGGCUGGGGUAGCUCCUGGGGCAGGCCCUGGCCCAUGUGUGAGUCGUUGCAGCGAAGCUCAGAUCUCCGGAGGGACAGCCUCUCCAUUUGCCUUACCAGAAAAAAUGAGACAUGAAGAAAAUAAAGGAAAAUGUUACCAUCUGUUAAUCUAAUGAGCGGACCAUCACA